RNAcentral lists this ribosomal RNA (451 nucleotides) under Streptococcus sp. oral taxon 064. RNAcentral describes it as "bacterial SSU rRNA". It matches the Rfam family "Bacterial small subunit ribosomal RNA", at positions 28 to 467 of the family's 1533-position model. Lineage: Bacteria; Bacillati; Bacillota; Bacilli; Lactobacillales; Streptococcaceae. The record is from RNAcentral.
GACGAACGCUGGCGGCGUGCCUAAUACAUGCAAGUAGAACGCUGAAGGAGGAGCUCGCUUUUCUGGAUGAGUUGCGAACGGGUGAGUAACGCGUAGGUAACCUGCCUGGUAGCGGGGGAUAACUAUUGGAAACGAUAGCUAAUACCGCAUAAUAGUAGAUGUUGCAUGACAUUUGCUUAAAAGGUGCAAUUGCAUCACUACCAGAUGGACCUGCGUUGUAUUAGCUAGUUGGUGGGGUAACGGCUCACCAAGGCGACGAUACAUAGCCGACCUGAGAGGGUGAUCGGCCACACUGGGACUGAGACACGGCCCAGACUCCUACGGGAGGCAGCAGUAGGGAAUCUUCGGCAAUGGACGGAAGUCUGACCGAGCAACGCCGCGAGUGAAGAAGGUUUUCGGAUCGUAAAGCUCUGUUGUAAGAGAAGAACGAGUGUGAGAGUGGAAAGUUCAC